This 2802-nucleotide ribosomal RNA is filed under the name Escherichia coli. RNAcentral describes it as "bacterial LSU rRNA". It matches the Rfam family "Bacterial large subunit ribosomal RNA". Lineage: Bacteria; Pseudomonadati; Pseudomonadota; Gammaproteobacteria; Enterobacterales; Enterobacteriaceae. The record is from RNAcentral.
GGGUUGUGAGGUUAAGCGACUAAGCGUACACGGUGGAUGCCCUGGCAGUCAGAGGCGAUGAAGGACGUGCUAAUCUGCGAUAAGCGUCGGUGAGGUGAUAUGAACCGUUAUAACCGGCGAUUUCCGAAUGGGGAAACCCAGUGUGUUUCGACACACUAUCAUUAACUGAAUCCAUAGGUUAAUGAGGCGAACCGGGGGAACUGAAACAUCUAAGUACCCCGAGGAAAAGAAAUCAACCGAGAUUCCCCCAGUAGCGGCGAGCGAACGGGGAGGAGCCCAGAGCCUGAAUCAGUGUGUGUGUUAGUGGAAGCGUCUGGAAAGGCGYGCGAUACAGGGUGACAGCCCCGUACACAAAAAURCACAUAUUGUGAGCUCGAUGAGUAGGGCGGGACACGUGGUAUCCUGUCUGAAUAUGGGGGGACCAUCCUCCAAGGCUAAAUACUCCUGACUGACCGAUAGUGAACCAGUACCGUGAGGGAAAGGCGAAAAGAACCCCGGCGAGGGGAGUGAAAAAGAACCUGAAACCGUGUACGUACAAGCAGUGGGAGCCUCUUUAUGGGGUGACUGCGUACCUUUUGUAUAAUGGGUCAGCGACUUAUAUUCUGUAGCAAGGUUAACCGAAUAGGGGAGCCGAAGGGAAACCGAGUCUUAACUGGGCGUUAAGUUGCAGGGUAUAGACCCGAAACCCGGUGAUCUAGCCAUGGGCAGGUUGAAGGUUGGGUAACACUAACUGGAGGACCGAACCGACUAAUGUUGAAAAAUUAGCGGAUGACUUGUGGCUGGGGGUGAAAGGCCAAUCAAACCGGGAGAUAGCUGGUUCUCCCCGAAAGCUAUUUAGGUAGCGCCUCGUGAAUUCAUCUCCGGGGGUAGAGCACUGUUUCGGCAAGGGGGUCAUCCCGACUUACCAACCCGAUGCAAACUGCGAAUACCGGAGAAUGUUAUCACGGGAGACACACGGCGGGUGCUAACGUCCGUCGUGAAGAGGGAAACAACCCAGACCGCCAGCUAAGGUCCCAAAGUCAUGGUUAAGUGGGAAACGAUGUGGGAAGGCCCAGACAGCCAGGAUGUUGGCUUAGAAGCAGCCAUCAUUUAAAGAAAGCGUAAUAGCUCACUGGUCGAGUCGGCCUGCGCGGAAGAUGUAACGGGGCUAAACCAUGCACCGAAGCUGCGGCAGCGACACUAUGUGUUGUUGGGUAGGGGAGCGUUCUGUAAGCCUGUGAAGGUGGCCUGUGAGGGUUGCUGGAGGUAUCAGAAGUGCGAAUGCUGACAUAAGUAACGAUAAAGCGGGUGAAAAGCCCGCUCGCCGGAAGACCAAGGGUUCCUGUCCAACGUUAAUCGGGGCAGGGUGAGUCGACCCCUAAGGCGAGGCCGAAAGGCGUAGUCGAUGGGAAACAGGUUAAUAUUCCUGUACUUGGUGUUACUGCGAAGGGGGGACGGAGAAGGCUAUGUUGGCCGGGCGACGGUUGUCCCGGUUUAAGCGUGUAGGCUGGUUUUCCAGGCAAAUCCGGAAAACCAAGGCUGAGGCGUGAUGACGAGGCACUACGGUGCUGAAGCGACAAAUGCCCUGCUUCCAGGAAAAGCCUCUAAGCAUCAGGUAACAUCAAAUCGUACCCCAAACCGACACAGGUGGUCAGGUAGAGAAUACCAAGGCGCUUGAGAGAACUCGGGUGAAGGAACUAGGCAAAAUGGUGCCGUAACUUCGGGAGAAGGCACGCUGAUAUGUAGGUGAAGCGACUUGCUCGUGGAGCUGAAAUCAGUCGAAGAUACCAGCUGGCUGCAACUGUUUAUUAAAAACACAGCACUGUGCAAACACGAAAGUGGACGUAUACGGUGUGACGCCUGCCCGGUGCCGGAAGGUUAAUUGAUGGGGUUAGCGGUAACGCGAAGCUCUUGAUCGAAGCCCCGGUAAACGGCGGCCGUAACUAUAACGGUCCUAAGGUAGCGAAAUUCCUUGUCGGGUAAGUUCCGACCUGCACGAAUGGCGUAAUGAUGGCCAGGCUGUCUCCACCCGAGACUCAGUGAAAUUGAACUCGCUGUGAAGAUGCAGUGUACCCGCGGCAAGACGGAAAGACCCCGUGAACCUUUACUAUAGCUUGACACUGAACAUUGAGCCUUGAUGUGUAGGAUAGGUGGGAGGCUUUGAAGUGUGGACGCCAGUCUGCAUGGAGCCGACCUUGAAAUACCACCCUUUAAUGUUUGAUGUUCUAACGUUGGCCCGUAAUCCGGGUUGCGGACAGUGUCUGGUGGGUAGUUUGACUGGGGCGGUCUCCUCCUAAAGAGUAACGGAGGAGCACGAAGGUUGGCUAAUCCUGGUCGGACAUCAGGAGGUUAGUGCAAUGGCAUAAGCCAGCUUGACUGCGAGCGUGACGGCGCGAGCAGGUGCGAAAGCAGGUCAUAGUGAUCCGGUGGUUCUGAAUGGAAGGGCCAUCGCUCAACGGAUAAAAGGUACUCCGGGGAUAACAGGCUGAUACCGCCCAAGAGUUCAUAUCGACGGCGGUGUUUGGCACCUCGAUGUCGGCUCAUCACAUCCUGGGGCUGAAGUAGGUCCCAAGGGUAUGGCUGUUCGCCAUUUAAAGUGGUACGCGAGCUGGGUUUAGAACGUCGUGAGACAGUUCGGUCCCUAUCUGCCGUGGGCGCUGGAGAACUGAGGGGGGCUGCUCCUAGUACGAGAGGACCGGAGUGGACGCAUCACUGGUGUUCGGGUUGUCAUGCCAAUGGCACUGCCCGGUAGCUAAAUGCGGAAGAGAUAAGUGCUGAAAGCAUCUAAGCACGAAACUUGCCCCGAGAUGAGUUCUCCCUGAC